RNAcentral lists this ribosomal RNA (512 nucleotides) under uncultured marine eukaryote. RNAcentral's name for it is "SSU rRNA". It matches the Rfam family "Eukaryotic small subunit ribosomal RNA", at positions 613 to 1129 of the family's 1831-position model. The record is from RNAcentral.
UUGCGGUUAAAAAGCUCGUAGUUGGAUUUCUGUCGAGGACGACCGGUCCGUACUUUGUGCGUGUAUCUGGCUCGGCCUUGGCAUCCUCCCGGGGAACGCUUCUGUGUUUCAUUACAUGGGGCGGUAUUCGGGACUUUUACUUUGAGGAAAUUAGAGUGUUCACGGCAGGCUUUCGCCUUGAAUACAUUAGCAUGGAAUAAUAAUAUAGGACCUUGGUACUAUUUUGUUGGUUUCUAGAACUAAGGUAAUGAUUAAUAGGGAUAAUUGGGGGCAUUCGUAUUAACGCGUCAGAGGUGGAAUUCUUGGAUUGCGUUACGACGAACUACUGCGAAAGCAUUUGCCAAGGAUGUUUUCAUUGAUCAGGAACGAAAGUUAGGGGAUCGAAGAUGAUUAGAUACCGUCGUAGUCUUAACCAUAAACUAUGCCACUUAGAGAUUGGAGGUCGUUCUUUUUAUGACUCCUUCAGCACCUUAUGAGAAUCCAAGUCUUUUGGGUUCCGGGGGGAGUAUGGU